Molecule: ribosomal RNA, 253 nt
Filed under: uncultured bacterium
Lineage: Bacteria
Description: partial 16S ribosomal RNA
Rfam family: Bacterial small subunit ribosomal RNA
Source: RNAcentral
UACGAAGGGUGCAAGCGUUACUCGGAAUUACUGGGCGUAAAGCGUGCGUAGGUGGUUUGUUAAGUCUGUUGUGAAAGCCCCGGGCUCAACCUGGGAAUGGCAAUGGAUACUGGCAGGCUAGAGUGCGGUAGAGGGUAGUGGAAUUCCCGGCGUAGCGGUGAAAUGCGUAGAGAUCGGGAGGAACACCAGUGGCGAAGGCGGCUACCUGGACCAGCACUGACACUGAGGCACGAAAGCGUGGGGAGCAAACAGG